RNAcentral lists this ribosomal RNA (253 nucleotides) under uncultured bacterium. RNAcentral describes it as "partial 16S ribosomal RNA". It matches the Rfam family "Bacterial small subunit ribosomal RNA", at positions 524 to 776 of the family's 1533-position model. The record is from RNAcentral.
GACAGAGGGUGCAAACGUUGUUCGGAUUUACUGGGCGUAAAGCGUGUGUAGGCGGCUUGGCAAGUUGGAUGUGAAAUCCCGCGGCUCAACCGUGGACGUGCAUCCAAAACUGCUUCGCUAGAGUCUCGGAGAGGAAGGUGGAAUGCUUGGUGUAGAGGUGAAAUUCGUAGAUAUCAAGCAGAACACCUGCGGCGACGGCGGCCUUCUGGACGAUGACUGACGCUGAGACACGAAAGCGUGGGGAGCGAACAGG